GGAUUUUUAGCUCAGCUGGUUAGAAGCAGACGGCUCAUAACCGUCCGGUCGUAGGUUCGAUUCCUACAAGGUCCA
This 75-nucleotide transfer RNA is filed under the name Bacillus thuringiensis. RNAcentral's name for it is "tRNA-Ile". It matches the Rfam family "tRNA". From Rfam's summary of the family: Transfer RNA (tRNA) molecules are approximately 80 nucleotides in length. Their secondary structure includes four short double-helical elements and three loops (D, anti-codon, and T loops). Further hydrogen bonds mediate the characteristic L-shaped molecular structure. tRNAs have two regions of fundamental functional importance: the anti-codon, which is responsible for specific mRNA codon recognition, and the 3' end, to which the tRNAs corresponding amino acid is attached (by aminoacyl-tRNA synthetases). tRNAs cope with the degeneracy of the genetic code in two manners: having more than one tRNA (with a specific anti-codon) for a particular amino acid; and 'wobble' base-pairing, i.e. permitting non-standard base-pairing at the 3rd anti-codon position. RNAcentral also lists the same sequence under 5 other names. The record is from RNAcentral. Lineage: Bacteria; Bacillati; Bacillota; Bacilli; Caryophanales; Bacillaceae.